Molecule: long non-coding RNA, 445 nt
Organism: Poecilia reticulata (guppy)
Lineage: Eukaryota; Metazoa; Chordata; Actinopteri; Cyprinodontiformes; Poeciliidae
Source: RefSeq, a predicted model, not a curated record
UAGCUAACUAGCGGUAGCUGCAACCGUCUGGAGUCAGGAAAUCAUCUGAGGGAGAAAAAAAUGCUGCAGUGUGAACGCACCAUGUGGCCGCCUCCAUCAGCUGCUGUGAUCAGAGGCCGGCCCGAUCAGCCGAACGUCCCGCUGCCGUCCUGGCAGCGUUGACGUCUCCACUUGCUCAGAGGAGCCAUGACGGCUCAGGCAGGCAUCAGCUCUGAUUCUCCGGAUGACGGCGUUUUACGGGACCCGCGACAGUUUAUGAUUGCUUCGUUUAGACGUCAUCAUUAAGCUGCCACAAACCAGGCAGCGAAGCCGCCUAGACGCCCCGGGAAACCCCGAAAUCAAUCUGCUGCACCUGCUGGGGAAUACUGUAAAGUGAGUUUGUUCUGCGUUGUUUUUACUUACUGCUGCCAAUUCAGGUCUGAAAGUCCCAGAGAGGAAAUAACGU